Cnephaeus nilssonii (northern bat) is the source of this 74-nucleotide non-coding RNA. The record is from the annotation of a GenBank genome assembly. NCBI's taxonomy places the organism in Eukaryota, Metazoa, Chordata, Mammalia, Chiroptera, Vespertilionidae.
GGCCGGUUUUCUCAUUGGUUAGGGUGUUGGCCUGAAGACCAAAGGGUCAUGGGUUCAAUCCCUAGUUCUGGUCA